GAUGAAGAACGUAGCGAAAUGCGAUAAGUAAUGUGAAUUGCAGAAUUCAGUGAAUCAUCGAAUCUUUGAACGCACAUUGCGCCCCCUGGUAUUCCGGGGGGCAUGCCUGUUCGAGCGUCAUUACAACCCUCAAGCUCUGCUUGGUAUUGGGCCCGGCCAGUUCUGGCGGGCCCUAAAGUCAGUGGCGGUGCCUUCCGGCUCCGAGCGUAGUAAUUCUUCUCGCUCUGGAGACCCGGUUGUGUGCUUGCCAACAACCCCCAAUUUUUUAAGGUUGACCUCGGAUCAGGUAGGGAUACCCGCUGAACUUAAGCAUAUCAAUAAGCGGAGGA
Molecule: unclassified non-coding RNA, 329 nt
Filed under: soil metagenome
Description: partial contains 5.8S ribosomal RNA, internal transcribed spacer 2, and large subunit ribosomal RNA
Rfam family: 5.8S ribosomal RNA (bases 1-120)
Source: RNAcentral